This 458-nucleotide unclassified non-coding RNA is filed under the name uncultured Bordetella sp. Its description in RNAcentral is "partial 16S-23S ribosomal RNA intergenic spacer". It matches the Rfam family "Bacterial small subunit ribosomal RNA", at positions 340 to 795 of the family's 1533-position model. The record is from RNAcentral. Lineage: Bacteria; Pseudomonadati; Pseudomonadota; Betaproteobacteria; Burkholderiales; Alcaligenaceae.
GCAGGGAGGUAGCGAUUGGGGGCUUUGGACAAUGGGGAAACCUGAUCCAGCCAUCCGCGUGUGCGAUGAAGGCCUUCGGGUUGUAAAGCACUUUUGGCAGGAAAGAAACGGCACGAGAUGGCCAUACACGUGCACAACUGACAAGCUGUGGAAUAAGCACCGGCUAACUACGUGCCAGCAACCGCGGUAAUACGUAGGGUGCAGGAAGCGUUAAUCGGAAUUACUGGGCAUGUAAAGCGUGCGCAGGCAGUUCGGAAGAAGAUAAAUCAGGGCUUAACUUUGGAACUGCAUUUUUAACUACCGAGCUAGAGGUGUCAGAGGGAGGUGGGAAUUCCGCGUGUAGCAGUGAAAUGCGUAGAUAUGCGGAGGAACACCGAUGGCGAAGGCAGCCUCCUGGGAUAACACUGACGCUCAUGCACGAAAGCGUGGGGCAAACAGGUUAAGAUACCCCCGUAGUC